Syngnathus typhle (broad-nosed pipefish) is the source of this 473-nucleotide long non-coding RNA. RefSeq lists it as uncharacterized. The record is from RefSeq and is a predicted model, not a curated record. The transcript is spliced from 2 exons. NCBI's taxonomy places the organism in Eukaryota, Metazoa, Chordata, Actinopteri, Syngnathiformes, Syngnathidae.
GUGGGCGUGAUGGUCAGCGGUCCGAUAUACUUCAACAGGAGACCGGGUAGACCCAGCGCCCCGAUGCACACCUCCACCAGGGAUGACACAAUGAUGGCCCCUUGGAUCUAAAAUAAAGAAAAGAAUUGUCACUUGAGGAUGCCAGAUGUGUUCGGUGUGGAGAAUUUCUGUGCCGUUUGUCUCGAGUAUCCCUGAGGACAGAAGAACAAAAAGAUUCCAAUGUCAGGUCAAGAUCAGACAAGAGACAAAAGUAAAACUAGGUGUGAUGUCAAACAAAGGUCCUCACCGGUGUUGUUGCACUUCCAUUUGUCCAGUGACAGAAUAGCUCUGGCUGGGGCAAGGAAGGCAAAAGCGCUGGCCUGGAACAAAGGCAACCUUGGACACCGGGAAAAACUCAUCAGAAAUCAAAUAUCACUUUUAAGUUGAUGAAAAGAAUUUGCCUAAAUAAAUGUUUGGCCAAGCAGCACAUCCGA